GCUGAUAUGGCCGAGUCGUUAAGGCGAGUGAUUUGAACAGCAGGAUUCGAACCUGCUCAAAUAUCACUUGGGAUUUUCCCGCGUAGGUUCAACUCCUGCUGUCAGCG
This is a transfer RNA of Trametes versicolor FP-101664 SS1, 107 nucleotides long. It matches the Rfam family "tRNA". Rfam says of the family: Transfer RNA (tRNA) molecules are approximately 80 nucleotides in length. Their secondary structure includes four short double-helical elements and three loops (D, anti-codon, and T loops). NCBI's taxonomy places the organism in Eukaryota, Fungi, Basidiomycota, Agaricomycetes, Polyporales, Polyporaceae. The record is from Rfam.